Molecule: ribosomal RNA, 491 nt
Filed under: uncultured bacterium
Lineage: Bacteria
Description: partial 16S ribosomal RNA
Rfam family: Bacterial small subunit ribosomal RNA
Source: RNAcentral
GGUGAACGCUGGCGGUAGGCCUAACACAUGCAAGUCGAACGGCAGCACAGUAAGAGCUUGCUCUUACGGGUGGCGAGUGGCGGACGGGUGAGGAAUACAUCGGAAUCUACUUUUUCGUGGGGGAUAACGUAGGGAAACUUACGCUAAUACCGCAUACGACCUACGGGUGAAAGCAGGGGAUCUUCGGACCCUGCGCGAUUGAAUGAGCCGAUGUCGGAUUAGCUAGUUGGCGGGGUAAAGGCCCACCAAGGCGACGAUCCGUAGCUGGUCUGAGAGGAUGAUCAGCCACACUGGAACUGAGACACGGUCCAGACUCCUACGGGAGGCAGCAGUGGGGAAUAUUGGACAAUGGGCGCAAGCCUGAUCCAGCCAUACCGCGUGGGUGAAGAAGGCCUGCGGGUUGUAAAGCCCUUUUGUUGGGAAAGAAAAGCAGCAGGUUAAUACCCCGCUGUUCUGACGGUACCCAAAGAAUAAGCACCGGCUAACUUCGU